RNAcentral lists this ribosomal RNA (253 nucleotides) under uncultured bacterium. RNAcentral's name for it is "partial 16S ribosomal RNA". It matches the Rfam family "Bacterial small subunit ribosomal RNA", at positions 524 to 776 of the family's 1533-position model. The record is from RNAcentral.
UACGGAGGGUGCGAGCGUUAAUCGGAAUAACUGGGCGUAAAGGGCACGCAGGCGGAUUUUUAAGUGAGGUGUGAAAUCCCCGGGCUUAACCUGGGAACUGCAUCUGAUACUGGCAAGCUUGAGUCUCGUAGAGGGGGGUAGAAUUCCAGGUGUAGCGGUGAAAUGCGUAGAGAUCUGGAGGAAUACCGGUGGCGAAGGCGGCCCCCUGGACGAAGACUGACGCUCAGGUGCGAAAGCGUGGGGAGCAAACAGG